This 463-nucleotide ribosomal RNA is filed under the name uncultured bacterium. RNAcentral describes it as "bacterial SSU rRNA". It matches the Rfam family "Bacterial small subunit ribosomal RNA", at positions 28 to 507 of the family's 1533-position model. The record is from RNAcentral.
GACGAACGCUGGCGGCGUGCCUAACACAUGCAAGUCGAACGGAGAUAUAAUUUCGGUUAUAUCUUAGUGGCGAACGGGUGAGUAACGCGUGAGCAACCUGACUCUUAGAGGGGGAUAACACCCGGAAACGAGUGCUAAUACCGCAUAAGACCACGACAUGGCAUCAUGACGAGGUCAAAGGAGCAAUCCGCUGAGAGAGGGGCUCGCGUCCCAUUAGAUAGAUGGCGGGGUAACGGCCCACCAUGUCAGCGAUGGGUAGCCGAGCUGAGAGGCUGAUCGGCCACACUGGAACUGAGACACGGUCCAGACUCCUACGGGAGGCAGCAGUGGGGAAUAUUGGGCAAUGGGCGCAAGCCUGACCCAGCAACGCCGCGUGAGGGAAGAAGGCUUCGGGUUGUAAACCUCUGUCCUUGGUGACGAACAAAUGACGGUAGCCAAGGAGGAAGCCCCGGCUAACUACGUG